UUCACUUUUGGGCUUGUGUACAGACUGCUGCCACGCUGCCUGGCUAGGUCGCUCUCCUUCUACUAGAUGGAAAUUGCUGUGAUCAUCACCACAAACCUGGAGUUGGAGGAAGUCUCUUCACUCCAUGAAGAGAAUGGUACCUACUGAGCAAGAGCUUCAGGCUGCUCCACAGGAGUGAUCCAGAAGGAGAGUGUUACAGACCUUCUGGAUCCAUGAGGGACUCAGUGAAGGUGUUCAUCGACACAUUCAGAAUCUGAAUGCUUUGCUAUUGCCUUCCAUAUGGGGACACCUGGGAAAAUGACUUACCAUUGAUCAUUUGUCAAAGGAAGAGAAGAAAGAAAGGACACUAAUGUUUACUUAACAUCCACUAUGUGCCAGACACUAUGCUAGUAGACUUUUUAUCAAAUUAAGUACCAUUCUAACAAUGAUAAAUUCUUCACUGCUAAGGCAAGUUUUUUACUAGGAUGUAUGAUUCCCUAACAUUAUUUGGAUAUUCCAAUCCCUGCAUCCUACCCAGGCAACUUAAGAAUCUCAAUUAGAGAUGAACAAGGGAAGUAAGAUGAAACCUGCUAGAAAUGAAAACACUAAUCCAGCAGCCACCUCUGAAUAACAUGAAUAUAACGGGCUAUAAAUUAAUGAUCACUUCCUGAAAAAUUGUGUACAUUCCAGCAAUAUGGCAUAGCAGAAAUGUUUUGGGGAAAAUACUUGGUUUCAAGCCACAGCCCCAUCACCCACAGACUAUCUGAGAGUCACCAGGGCUCCUCUCUGGGACUCAGUUUCUCUACAUGAAUAUAAGCUGUGCUUUGUUAGCUUUCUGUUGAACAAGUAGAAGAGAUAACAAAGUUUUACUAGAUAAGUGCCUGUGAAGAUAGCAGUGGUCUGAGCCUCCAGCUUCCAUCAAAGUCUGUUGUUUUCAUUGUUUGGGAGUGGGCAGUAGGCAGGAUAAAGAGUUUAGACAGAAAAUAUUCCAGUUAAAGAACAAUUAUUUUGUCACAGCACUUUAAAAAUAUUUAAUUAAAUGAGCUUUAAAUUCUGUCCUAAGUCUGAGUUCUGUGAUUCUAUGGGUUUCAGAAAUUGGAUUGCCAAUUCCUAGUCUGAAAACAAAACAGAAUAAAAAACAAAAACAAAAAAACCAAACAG
Molecule: long non-coding RNA, 1140 nt
Filed under: Cricetulus griseus (Chinese hamster)
Lineage: Eukaryota; Metazoa; Chordata; Mammalia; Rodentia; Cricetidae
Description: lncRNA (ENSCGRG00015037429.1)
Source: RNAcentral